CAGUCGCCGCGGUAACACGAACCGUGCGAACGUUAUUCGGAAUUACGGGGCUUAAAGCGCGUGUAGGCGGGUCGGCACGUCGGUCGCUGAAAUCCCCCGGCUCAACCGGGGAAGUGGCGCCGAUACGGCCAGCCUGGAGGGGGGUAGGGGGGCCUGGAACUUCCGGUGGAGCGGUGAAAUGCGUUGAGAUCGGAAGGAACGCCCGUGGCGAAAGCGAGGCCCUGGACCCUUUCUGACGCUGAGACGCGAAAGCCAGGGGAGCGAACGGGAUUAGAUACCCCUGUAGUCCCUGUCUCUUAUA
This 301-nucleotide ribosomal RNA is filed under the name uncultured bacterium. RNAcentral describes it as "partial 16S ribosomal RNA". It matches the Rfam family "Bacterial small subunit ribosomal RNA", at positions 509 to 807 of the family's 1533-position model. The record is from RNAcentral.